RNAcentral lists this ribosomal RNA (465 nucleotides) under uncultured bacterium. RNAcentral's name for it is "partial 16S ribosomal RNA". It matches the Rfam family "Bacterial small subunit ribosomal RNA", at positions 28 to 507 of the family's 1533-position model. The record is from RNAcentral.
GACGAACGCUGGCGGCGUGCUUAACACAUGCAAGUCGAACGGAAAGGCCCCUUUGGGGGUACUCGAGUGGCGAACGGGUGAGUAACACGUGAGUAACCUGCCCUUGACUUCGGGAUAACUUCAGGAAACUGGGGCUAAUACCGGAUAGGAAUCCUUGCUGCAUGGUGGGGGUUGGAAAGCUUCGGCGGUUUUGGAUGGACUCGCGGCUUAUCAGCUUGUUGGUGGGGUAGUGGCUUACCAAGGCUUUGACGGGUAGCCGGCCUGAGAGGGCGACCGGCCACAUUGGGACUGAGAUACGGCCCAGACUCCUACGGGAGGCAGCAGUGGGGAAUAUUGCACAAUGGGCGGAAGCCUGAUGCAGCAACGCCGCGCGCGGGAUGACGGCCUUCGGGUUGUAAACCGCUUUCAGCAGGGGCGAAGCUUGUGGUGACGGUACCUGCAGAAGAAGCACCGGCUAACUACGUG